UUGCUCAUUCAGGCAGCAUAUACUCUGAAACUGAAACAGUACAGAGAUAAGCCUGGCCCCUGUGCAAAGAUGACAUACAAAUUCAUAAAGUUCAUAAAGCAUUA
Small nuclear RNA from Apodemus sylvaticus (European woodmouse), 104 nucleotides. The record is from RefSeq and is a predicted model, not a curated record. Lineage: Eukaryota; Metazoa; Chordata; Mammalia; Rodentia; Muridae.